This 522-nucleotide ribosomal RNA is filed under the name uncultured Glomeraceae. RNAcentral describes it as "SSU rRNA". It matches the Rfam family "Eukaryotic small subunit ribosomal RNA", at positions 569 to 1092 of the family's 1831-position model. The record is from RNAcentral. Lineage: Eukaryota; Fungi; Glomeromycota; Glomeromycetes; Glomerales; Glomeraceae.
AGCAGCCGCGGUAAUUCCAGCUCCAAUAGCGUAUAUUAAAGUUGUUGCAGUUAAAAAGCUCGUAGUUGAAUUUCGGGAUCAAUAUGUUGGUCGUGCCAUUGGUACGUACUGGCAUUAUUGGUUUCUACCUUCUGAAGAACCUCGAUGUCAUUAAUUUGGUGUCUUGGGGAAUCAGGACUGUUACUUUGAAAAAAUUAGAGUGUUUAAAGCAAGCUCGCGCUUGAAUACAUUAGCAUGGAAUAAUGAAAUAGGACGUUUGAUUCUAUUUUGUUGGUUUCUAGGAUCGACGUAAUGAUUAAUAGGGAUAGUUGGGGGCAUUAGUAUUCAAUUGUCAGAGGUGAAAUUCUUGGAUUUAUUGAAGACUAACUACUGCGAAAGCAUUUGCCAAGGAUGUUUUCAUUAAUCAAGAACGAAAGUUAGGGGAUCGAAGACGAUCAGAUACCGUCGUAGUCUUAACCAUAAACUAUGCCGACUAGGGAUCGGAUGAUGUUAAUUUUUUAAUGACUCAUUCGGCGCCUUACG